UACAGAGGUGGCAAGCGUUGUUCGGAAUUACUGGGCGUAAAGGGCGCGUAGGCGGUCCGAUAAGUCCUGUGUGAAAUCCCUCGGCUCAACUGAGGAACUGCACGGGAGACUGCCGGGCUUGAGUUCGGGAGAGGGAAGCGGAAUUCCGGGUGUAGCGGUGAAAUGCGUAGAUAUCGAGAGGAACACCAGUGGCGAAGGCGAGUCCCUGGACACUUCCUGACACUGAGGCACGAAAGCUAGGGGAGCAAACAGG
Molecule: ribosomal RNA, 253 nt
Filed under: uncultured bacterium
Lineage: Bacteria
Description: partial 16S ribosomal RNA
Rfam family: Bacterial small subunit ribosomal RNA
Source: RNAcentral